This 468-nucleotide ribosomal RNA is filed under the name uncultured bacterium. RNAcentral's name for it is "partial 16S ribosomal RNA". It matches the Rfam family "Bacterial small subunit ribosomal RNA", at positions 28 to 507 of the family's 1533-position model. The record is from RNAcentral.
GACGAACGCUGGCGGCGUGCUUAACACAUGCAAGUCGAACGGAAAGGCCCUGCUUUUGUGGGGUGCUCGAGUGGUGAACGGGUGAGUAACACGUGAGUAACCUGCCCUUGACUUUGGGAUAACUUCAGGAAACUGGGGCUAAUACCGGAUAGGAGCUCCUGCUGCAUGGUGGGGGUUGGAAAGUUUCGGCGGUUGGGGAUGGACUCGCGGCUUAUCAGCUUGUUGGUGGGGUAGUGGCUUACCAAGGCUUUGACGGGUAGCCGGCCUGAGAGGGUGACCGGCCACAUUGGGACUGAGAUACGGCCCAGACUCCUACGGGAGGCAGCAGUGGGGAAUAUUGCACAAUGGGCGGAAGCCUGAUGCAGCAACGCCGCGUGCGGGAUGACGGCCUUCGGGUUGUAAACCGCUUUCGCUUGUGACGAAGCGUGAGUGACGGUAAUGGGUAAAGAAGCACCGGCUAACUACGUG